Molecule: non-coding RNA, 73 nt
Organism: Podarcis lilfordi (Lilford's wall lizard)
Lineage: Eukaryota; Metazoa; Chordata; Lepidosauria; Squamata; Lacertidae
Source: the annotation of a GenBank genome assembly
ACCUCAUUAGCUCAGUCGGCAGAGCAUGACACUCUUAAUCUCAGGUGAUGAGUUCGAGCUCCACAAUUGGGCA